This 216-nucleotide ribosomal RNA is filed under the name uncultured bacterium. RNAcentral's name for it is "partial 16S ribosomal RNA". It matches the Rfam family "Bacterial small subunit ribosomal RNA", at positions 118 to 351 of the family's 1533-position model. The record is from RNAcentral.
UGGGGACCUUCCCUAUGGUUCGGAAUAGCUCAGGGAAACUUGGGGUAAUACCGGAUAAGCCCUUCGGGGGAAAGAUUUAUCGCCGAGAGAUCGGCCCGCGUCUGAUUAGCUAGUUGGUGAGGUAACGGCUCACCAAGGCGACGAUCAGUAGCUGGUCUGAGAGGAUGAUCAGCCACACUGGGACUGAGACACGGCCCAGACUCCUACGGGAGGCAG